Molecule: long non-coding RNA, 586 nt
Organism: Coffea arabica (coffee)
Lineage: Eukaryota; Viridiplantae; Streptophyta; Magnoliopsida; Gentianales; Rubiaceae
Source: RefSeq, a predicted model, not a curated record
GCUGUUUAAGUUUCAGUGCUGAGUCCUCUUGCAGCUGCUGCAAAACUGGGCAAUCAUCGUUGAUAUUUGGAUUUGCUAAUGCAGAGAAGUGAACGUCAGAUAUGUACUCGAUCAAAAUCCUAGAGACCACAUAUGCAGCUCUGCAUGUCGACGUUUUGCUGAAAUUAAGAUUUCACAGAGAUAACUCAAGCAAGGUUGCUGUUCAUGGCACGUCACAUCACAUCGACGGCUGGUUAUCUCAUCUUAUGAAGCUUCUUUUGCAGAUUGCUCCUGCCGCAAAAGUUAUCUAACCAAAGGCAGGAGCCAUUGCUACGGAUUCUGCUUGGUCCAGGCCCUGCAGAAGCAGCAGGACCUACGGCAGGAUCCAAUAAUCUUCCGGCAGCUGCAUCGGAGCACCGGCGCCACCAAGAAAAAAGAUGGGGAGUGAAGCAAAUGGUCCGUUUUUAUUUUUAUUUUCUGGGAAGAGAUUCAAGUGAAAAUUAGAGAAGUAAGAGAAAUUCAAGUAACUAGUUUUGUACCAUAUACAUAUAUGGCAAGUAAACUCUUCCUUGUAUUGAAGAGGCUUGUUAAAUGAACUUGUUCUUGA